AGGGUUUGAUCAUGGCUCAGAACGUACGCUGGCGGCACGCCUAACACAUGCAAGUCGAACGAAGUAGCAAUACUUAGUGGCAAACGGGUGAGUAACAUGUGGGUAUCUGCCCUUCGGCCUGGAAUAACAUGAGGAAACUUGUGCUAAUACCAGAUAAGUCUUUUAAGAGAAAGCUUUAUGCACCGAUGGAUGAGCCCGCACCUGAUUAGUUAGUUGGUGAGGUAAUUGCUCACCAAGACAAUGAUCAGUAGCUGAUUUGAGAGGAUGAUCAGCCACAUUGGGACUGAGACACGGCCCAAACUCCUACGGGAGGCAGCAGUGGGGAAUCUUGCACAAUGGGGGAAACCCUGAUGCAGCGAUGCCGUGGGAGUGAAGAAGGCCUUUGGGUUGUAAAGCUCUUUCGUCGGGGAAGAAAAUGACUGUACCCGAAUAAGAAGGUCCGGCUAACUUCGUGCCAGCAGCCGCGGUAAUACGAAGGGACCUAGCGUAGUUCGGAAUUACUGGGCUUAAAGAGUUCGUAGGUGGUUAAAAUAGUUGGUGGUGAAAUCCCAGAGCUUAACUCUGGAACUGCCAUCAAAACUUUUUAGCUAGAGUAUGAUAGAGGA
This 605-nucleotide ribosomal RNA is filed under the name uncultured bacterium. RNAcentral's name for it is "bacterial SSU rRNA". It matches the Rfam family "Bacterial small subunit ribosomal RNA", at positions 8 to 658 of the family's 1533-position model. The record is from RNAcentral.